UGUGUAGGUCAGGCUGAGACGAAGCUGCACAGAGGCGAUCUUAGGAAGCUGGAGUCCCCACCCGCCCACACCCACUUCCGCCUUGUGCUGUCAGUCCUGCUGAGUCGAUACAAACCGUAGCCUGGGGCCCAGCCUGGACUCCCCACUGAGGUUCUGGCCUACGGGAGAUCAAAGACCCACUGAGAACAAUAGUAAGGCAGCCGUGGUUCACUCUCCCCGGAUGCACCUCCACACCUGUCCAUGCUGUCACUCAGCCAUUCCAGGCUGUUUUUAUCUUCCUGUGGUUCUCAUCAUACUUCCUGUGGAAAGUGGAGGCUGUCUGCAGCAUGUGCACAGCUGUUUGGAAGACCUCCAUAUUGAAGUGUGAAAGCAUGCUAGUAAGAUGGAUAUUCUACAAGUUAUUGAUACUGAGAAGUUGUCAGGAUGGGAUGUCAGAGAGACUAGGAAGAAGCCCUUCAGCCGCUUGUCAGCCUCCCCCAGCUGCCCCUCUCCUCCAUCCCCACUGUCUUACUGGGAGGUAUUUCAUGAACAGCUGGGUCCCGGGAGAGGAGAGGUUAGUCAAAGAGGCGCACUGUGUAUAAUUCAAUGAUUAUCAGGUGUGUGUAUGUGUGCGUGUGUUUAUAUAUGUGCGUGUGUGUGGCCCUCCCCCUUCUAUUGGCAGGUGUCAGGUGACAGGCAGGCCAUGUCACUGGCUGUCAGCUGGCUUUCUAUUGGAGCAGUCACACUGUUCACAACAUUACCAUAAGCUGAUGAGCAAGGCUUGGGCCGUCUCACGCUCUAAGCUGCAGCUCUGAUGUCAUAUAGGAGACUCGGACAAUGUCAGCGCUAAAGCACCUAAAUCUGAACAGCCUUCUUUUGUUAUGAUUUUUUAAACUCCAUUUUGGGUUUUGAUUAGUCUAAACCAGC
Long non-coding RNA from Oreochromis aureus, 906 nucleotides. The record is from Ensembl. NCBI's taxonomy places the organism in Eukaryota, Metazoa, Chordata, Actinopteri, Cichliformes, Cichlidae.